UCUACGGGUGGCAGCAGUGAGGAAUAUUGGUCAAUGGGCGGAAGCCUGAACCAGCCAAGUCGCGUGAGGGAUUAAGGCCCUGCGGGUCGUAAACCUCUUUUGCCGGGGAGCAGUGGUCCGGACGCGUCCGGACCGGGAGAGUACCCGGAGAAAAAGCAUCGGCUAACUCCGUGCCAGCAGCCGCGGUAAUACGGAGGAUGCGAGCGUUAUCCGGAUUUAUUGGGUUUAAAGGGUGCGUAGGCGGACUGUUAAGUCAGCGGUAAAAGCCCGGGGCUCAACCCCGGCGAGCCGUUGAAACUGGCUGUCUUGAGAUGUCGGGAGGUAUGCGGAAUGCGCAGUGUAGCGGUGAAAUGCUUAGAUAGUGCGCAGAACUCCGAUUGCGAAGGCAGCAUACCGGCGGCGAUCUGACGCUGAGGCACGAAAGCGUGGGUAUCGAACAGGAUUAGAUACCCUUGUAGUC
Molecule: ribosomal RNA, 460 nt
Filed under: uncultured bacterium
Lineage: Bacteria
Description: partial 16S ribosomal RNA
Rfam family: Bacterial small subunit ribosomal RNA
Source: RNAcentral